AGGACGAACGCUGGCGGCGUGCCUAACACAUGCAAGUCGAACGGGGCCAGGGGCAACUCUGGUUCAGUGGCGGACGGGUGCGUAACACGUGAGGAACAUGUCUUUCGGUGGGGGAUAGCCGGCCCAACGGCCGGGUAAUACCGCAUACGCUGACCUGGGUGCAUACCCGGGUUCGGAAAGCAGCAAUGCGCCGAUUGAGUGCCUCGCGGCCUAUCAGCUAGUUGGUGAGGUAAUGGCUCACCAAGGCGACGACGGGUA
This 258-nucleotide ribosomal RNA is filed under the name uncultured soil bacterium. RNAcentral's name for it is "partial 16S ribosomal RNA". It matches the Rfam family "Bacterial small subunit ribosomal RNA", at positions 26 to 285 of the family's 1533-position model. The record is from RNAcentral.